RNAcentral lists this ribosomal RNA (2899 nucleotides) under Cronobacter sakazakii. Its description in RNAcentral is "Bacterial large subunit ribosomal RNA". It matches the Rfam family "Bacterial large subunit ribosomal RNA". Lineage: Bacteria; Pseudomonadati; Pseudomonadota; Gammaproteobacteria; Enterobacterales; Enterobacteriaceae. The record is from RNAcentral.
GUUAAGCGAACAAGCGUACACGGUGGAUGCCCUGGCAGUCAGAGGCGAUGAAGGACGUGCUAAUCUGCGAAAAGCGCCGGUAAGGUGAUAUGAACCGUUAUAACCGGCGAUGUCCGAAUGGGGAAACCCGGUGCACUUCGGUGCAUCAUCGUUAGCUGAAUACAUAGGCUAACGAGGCGAACCGGGGGAACUGAAACAUCUAAGUACCCCGAGGAAAAGAAAUCAACCGAGAUUCCCCCAGUAGCGGCGAGCGAACGGGGAACAGCCCAGAGCCUGAAUCAGCUUGUGUGUCAGUGGAACGGUCUGGAAAGGCCGGCGAUACAGGGUGACAGCCCCGUACACGAAGGCACACAGGCUGUGAGCUCGAUGAGUAGGGCGGGACACGUGAUAUCCUGUCUGAAGAUGGGGGGACCAUCCUCCAAGGCUAAAUACUCCUGACUGACCGAUAGUGAACCAGUACCGUGAGGGAAAGGCGAAAAGAACCCCGGCGAGGGGAGUGAAACAGAACCUGAAACCGUGUACGUACAAGCAGUGGGAGCCUUCGUAAGAGGGUGACUGCGUACCUUUUGUAUAAUGGGUCAGCGACUUAUAUUCUGUAGCAAGGUUAACCGUAUAGGGGAGCCGAAGGGAAACCGAGUCUUAACCGGGCGUUAAGUUGCAGGGUAUAGACCCGAAACCCGGUGAUCUAGCCAUGGGCAGGUUGAAGGUUGGGUAACACUAACUGGAGGACCGAACCGACUAAUGUUGAAAAAUUAGCGGAUGACCUGUGGCUGGGGGUGAAAGGCCAAUCAAACCGGGAGAUAGCUGGUUCUCCCCGAAAGCUAUUUAGGUAGCGCCUCGUGAACUCAUCUCCGGGGGUAGAGCACUGUUUCGGCUAGGGGGCCAUCCCGGCUUACCAACCCGAUGCAAACUGCGAAUACCGGAGAAUGUUAUCACGGGAGACACACGGCGGGUGCUAACGUCCGUCGUGAAGAGGGAAACAACCCAGACCGCCAGCUAAGGUCCCAAAGUCAUGGUUAAGUGGGAAACGAUGUGGGAAGGCCCAGACAGCCAGGAUGUUGGCUUAGAAGCAGCCAUCAUUUAAAGAAAGCGUAAUAGCUCACUGGUCGAGUCGGCCUGCGCGGAAGAUGUAACGGGGCUAAACCAUGCACCGAAGCUGCGGCAGCGACACUAUGUGUUGUUGGGUAGGGGAGCGUUCUGUAAGCCUGUGAAGGUGUGCUGUGAGGCAUGCUGGAGGUAUCAGAAGUGCGAAUGCUGACAUAAGUAACGAUAAAGCGGGUGAAAAGCCCGCUCGCCGGAAGACCAAGGGUUCCUGUCCAACGUUAAUCGGGGCAGGGUGAGUCGACCCCUAAGGCGAGGCCGAAAGGCGUAGUCGAUGGGAAACAGGUUAAUAUUCCUGUACUUGGUGUUACUGCGAAGGGGGGACGGAGAAGGCUAUGUCGGCCGGGCGACGGUUGUCCCGGUUUAAGCGUGUAGGCUGACUUUCCAGGCAAAUCCGGAAGGUUAAGGCUGAGGCGUGAUGACGAGGCACCACGGUGCUGAAGUGACAAAUGCCCUGCUUCCAGGAAAAGCCUCUAAGCAUCAGGUAACAUCAAAUCGUACCCCAAACCGACACAGGUGGUCAGGUAGAGAAUACCAAGGCGCUUGAGAGAACUCGGGUGAAGGAACUAGGCAAAAUGGUGCCGUAACUUCGGGAGAAGGCACGCUGACAUGUAGGUGAAGCCCCUGCGGGUGGAGCUGAAGUCAGUCGAAGAUACCAGCUGGCUGCAACUGUUUAUUAAAAACACAGCACUGUGCAAACACGAAAGUGGACGUAUACGGUGUGACGCCUGCCCGGUGCCGGAAGGUUAAUUGAUGGGGUUAUCGCAAGAGAAGCUCCUGAUCGAAGCCCCGGUAAACGGCGGCCGUAACUAUAACGGUCCUAAGGUAGCGAAAUUCCUUGUCGGGUAAGUUCCGACCUGCACGAAUGGCGUAAUGAUGGCCAGGCUGUCUCCACCCGAGACUCAGUGAAAUUGAACUCGCUGUGAAGAUGCAGUGUACCCGCGGCAAGACGGAAAGACCCCGUGAACCUUUACUACAGCUUGACACUGAACAUUGAGCCUUGAUGUGUAGGAUAGGUGGGAGGCUUUGAAGCGUGGACGCCAGUCUGCGUGGAGCCGACCUUGAAAUACCACCCUUUAAUGUUUGAUGUUCUAACCUGGCGCCGUGAUCCGGCGUGGGGACAGUGUCUGGUGGGUAGUUUGACUGGGGCGGUCUCCUCCCAAAGUGUAACGGAGGAGCACGAAGGUCAGCUAAUCCUGGUCGGACAUCAGGAGGUUAGUGCAAUGGCAUAAGCUGGCUUGACUGCGAGAGUGACGGCUCGAGCAGGUGCGAAAGCAGGUCAUAGUGAUCCGGUGGUUCUGUAUGGAAGGGCCAUCGCUCAACGGAUAAAAGGUACUCCGGGGAUAACAGGCUGAUACCGCCCAAGAGUUCAUAUCGACGGCGGUGUUUGGCACCUCGAUGUCGGCUCAUCACAUCCUGGGGCUGAAGUAGGUCCCAAGGGUAUGGCUGUUCGCCAUUUAAAGUGGUACGCGAGCUGGGUUUAGAACGUCGUGAGACAGUUCGGUCCCUAUCUGCCGUGGGCGCUGGAGAAUUGAGGGGGGCUGCUCCCAGUACGAGAGGACCGGAGUGGACGCAUCACUGGUGUUCGGGUUGUCAUGCCAAUGGCACUGCCCGGUAGCUAAAUGCGGAAGAGAUAAGUGCUGAAAGCAUCUAAGCACGAAACUUGCCCCGAGAUGAGUUCUCCCUGAGACUGUAAGUCUCCUGAAGGAACGUUGAAGACGACGACGUUGAUAGGCCGGGUGUGUAAGCGCAGCGAUGCGUUGAGCUAACCGGUACUAAUGAACCGUGAGGCUUAACC